This 466-nucleotide ribosomal RNA is filed under the name Vreelandella stevensii. RNAcentral's name for it is "partial 16S ribosomal RNA". It matches the Rfam family "Bacterial small subunit ribosomal RNA", at positions 338 to 795 of the family's 1533-position model. The record is from RNAcentral. Lineage: Bacteria; Pseudomonadati; Pseudomonadota; Gammaproteobacteria; Oceanospirillales; Halomonadaceae.
CCUACGGGGUGCUGCAGUGGGGAAUAUUGGACAAUGGGCGAAAGCCUGAUCCAGCCAUGCCGCGUGUGUGAAGAAGGCCUUCGGGUUGUAAAGCACUUUCAGUGGGGAAGAAAGCCUUGGGGCUAAUACCCUCGAGGAAGGACAUCACCCACAGAAGAAGCACCGGCUAACUCCGUGCCAGCAGCCGCGGUAAUACGGGAGGGUGCGAGCGUUAAUCGGAAUUACUGGGCGUAAAGCGCGCGUAGGCGGUCUGAUAAGCCGGUUGUGAAAGCCCCGGGCUCAACCUGGGAACGGCAUCCGGAACUGUCAGGCUAGAGUGCAGGAGAGGAAGGUAGAAUUCCCGGUGUAGCGGUGAAAUGCGUAGAGAUCGGGAGGAAUACCAGUGGCGAAGGCGGCCUUCUGGACUGACACUGACGCUGAGGUGCGAAAGCGUGGGUAGCAAACAGGAUUAGAUACCCGGGUAGUC